GAUCCUGCUCAGGAUGAACGCUAGCUACAGGCUUAACACGUGCAAGUCGAGGGGCAGCAUUUCAGUUUGCUUGCAAACUGGAGAUGGCGACCGGCGCACGGGUGAGUAACACGUAUCCAACCUGCCGAUAACUCGGGGAUAGCCUUUCGAAAGAAAGAUUAAUACCCGAUGGCAUAAUUAGACCGCAUGGUCUUAUUAUUAAAGAAUUUCGGUUAUCGAUGGGGAUGCGUUCCAUUAGGCAGUUGG
RNAcentral lists this ribosomal RNA (246 nucleotides) under uncultured bacterium. RNAcentral's name for it is "partial 16S ribosomal RNA". It matches the Rfam family "Bacterial small subunit ribosomal RNA", at positions 15 to 252 of the family's 1533-position model. The record is from RNAcentral.